RNAcentral lists this long non-coding RNA (484 nucleotides) under Pan troglodytes (chimpanzee). RNAcentral describes it as "lincRNA". Lineage: Eukaryota; Metazoa; Chordata; Mammalia; Primates; Hominidae. The record is from RNAcentral.
UCAAGGGAUUUGUACAGCCCUGUAGGAGACACCUCCAGAGAAAGUAACAGCUCUCAAUUGAUUAGCUGAGGAGACCGAUUUUGUAAAUCACUACUUUUCUAACAACACUGGCACAGAUGGCCAAGCAUUCUCCCUUUUCUCAGAGCUGGUUUUCCAUCCCGGAAAGAGGACUUACAUAUACAAAGUUACUCUAAUCAGUUGUGAGCUGAUACCAUCAGCAUUCUUACUGAAGAACUCCUUAGUGAAAUAGGGAAGUUCAUAAAAUGCUUGUGAGAAGAUGGAAUAAAUAGGAAUUUCUGUAUUCCUCCUGAUAAGUACAACUAAAGACCCUGGACAUUAUUUAUAAAACAAACUGAAGAAGACUCUGAAAGAUAGAGAGGAGAAAGCAGACCACCUAGGGACCUCAGGACUCAAGGAACAAAACGAAGAAUAAACAGAUGCUUUUACAGCUCGCAUUGGCGGGAAGUUCUGGCACAAAUGAAGU